This 603-nucleotide ribosomal RNA is filed under the name Triticum aestivum (bread wheat). RNAcentral describes it as "partial small subunit ribosomal RNA". The record is from RNAcentral. Lineage: Eukaryota; Viridiplantae; Streptophyta; Magnoliopsida; Poales; Poaceae.
AUGAAAGACCUCGGUGAAGUUGCUUAUAUAUUGGGCAUUAAGAUCUAUAGAGAUAGAUCAAGACGCUUAAUUGGACUUUCACAAAGCACAUACCUUGACAAAAUUUUGAAGAAGUUCAAAAUGGAUCAAGCAAAGAAAGGAUUCUUUCCUGUCACGGAUUCUGGGGGCGGAAGGAGGGGGGCCGCGGCGCCGAACGUUGUGGUCAUUAGUUCCGACGAGGAGGAGGAGGAGGAGGGCGACGGAUCUGCCCCCGUGGCCGGGAAGUUGCGUUUUGGUGAAGAAGAAGGGCCGACCGGGGGCUCCAAUCUCGUGGUGGUGAAGAAGGGCAAGUCCGGUGGCGUCGAGGAGGAGGACGACGAUUGCUGGGUCCUAGACGGUGACCCCGACGGGCCGGUUGCCGUUGUGAAACAGGAGAGGAGGGUGAGCCUUGGUGGCAGCUUGGAUGAAGUGUUCAUAGUUGCAGAGAAAGGCCAGGUAGCGUGCAGGGACUUCCCUCACUCGCGCCAUUUAUGCUCUAGCUUGCCCUUUGGCACUACUUCUCACGUCAGGCAUUGUACCAUGUGCUACUGUUUUGUAUGCGAUGUUCCAGCUCCAUGCAAAUAG